AUCAUAAAAUAAAAUGUUAUAAAUGAAAAUAUUCAUUUCAGAUUAUGGAAGAGAUUUCCCCAAAAGGACCGAACACAGUUUAAGUCUUUAUGGUGAGUUUUUAAUUAUAUUACCUCAUCGAUUUCCAUAAAGAUUCUGUCAUAUUUCACUGAUAGUAAAUUUACCAUGAGCUUAUAUGAAGUAAAUUAGGUAUUUACAGUUUGGGGGGACAUUUGAUAUUUCUUUCCUCUACACCUGUGUAGAAUUAAUUAUUACUCACUUGGGAUGAAAUCUAUGUCAUUAAGGUGUCUUCAAAUAUUUUCCACAUCAGAUGACAUUCUGAUGUACGUAGAUGUGGGCAGUUAAAAUUAAAGAUUACCAGCAGCAAUGUUUCACAGAGAGAGUAGGUGCUUGUUGUUUGAAGUGAAAUGGUGUGAAAUGUAUUUGAAGACAGAUAUUUGAUGAUUAACCUUGUUGACACUGGAGGUGAGCAGAAAAUUAUAAGAAUGUUUGAUUAGUGAGUUCUACUGUAGAUGUGAAAACGCCAUGUCAUUGAUGCGUCACAAAUACGCAGGUUGAUGUGGGCAGUUAAAAUCAAAGAGUACCAGAAGCAAUAUUUCACAGAGAGAGCAGUUGCUUUCUGUCUAACGGUAAGUGGUGUGACCAGUUUUUGUAGAUCGAUAUAUGGUUAUCCACUUGCUUGACAUUGGAGUUGAGCAGAAAACGAGAAGUUUGGUUCGUGAGGUUUACUACGGUAGAGGUGAAAACGUUAUGUCAUAAAUGUGACAGAAAUACCACCUUGACCAUGAUCGACUGACUGAGUGUAUUGACGACACUAGAAAUCACAGUGCACCCUCCACUUCUGUCUUCAUAUUGACCUUCUCACCUACGUAGCAUGUCGUAUUUCGUCAAACACUCACUUUUGGAUUCGCUCUCAGUGACCUCCUUUGCUCGUGUAUAUAACUCUCAACAACUGAGCAUCUCUUAAUAUUUUCAGUGAGCUGGUUACCUGUCCCAUCUGAAAUUUUGUCAUAAGUUUUUAGUGAUGAUGUCUCUCACACCUGAUUUCCCUCUGAUCGCCUCACUCUUGAUGUGCAAAUUUAGCAACACUCCCAAACCUCGAUUUUUCGAUUGUGCUUUGGGCCAUUAUCAGACUCACAUCCUCCAUCUUCGUUGUGUAACAGCUUUCAAACCUGUUGUAAAUUGCCGGUAAAUAGGUGUUGUUGAAGAGGUUUAUGUGGUUGGUCCAAUCCGACUUCGUUUUGAGACCAACUUUCAUAUAUCAACGCAAUGUAUUGUGACAUCCAACAUAAUUUAACAAUAUUGCAAUUACUUCACGUAAUUAUCUAUUUAUAGCAAUGUUUUUCAGUAGUUGAGUUAUCCUCUCUUUAUACCUGUGCCUUAAACUCCCUGAAAAUCAGAGAAAUACGGAAGGAAAGAGAAAACUAAAAGCAAAAUAUUCUUAUAAAGAGACAAUGAAAUUAAAUAAUUACAAUAUUGUUGAAUUAUAUUUGAUGUCUGAAUACAAAGAGUAUAGAUAGGAAAUUAGUUAAUAUUUUGGUGGCUCUUAAUAUAGAGUUUUGUUAUAUUGAAAGCGUGCAUAAUGGUCAGCCGUUGACCAUUGACAAUAGAAAUAAGUCACAAUAGUGAAAUAUAGAUUAUUAACAAAGAUAAGCACAUCAUCCUAUACAACGCAAACCUUGAAAAUAUUCAUUUCAGAUAUUCCAACACAAAUUCACAGUGCCAGUCCCGUUCCCCAUUCUCAAUUACAUUCUGGAGUAGAUGAAUCAGAGGAAGAUUGUAAGUAUGAAAUAAUUUCAAGUUACCGAUUUCUAUACAUUUCACCUUCUCCCGAGCUUUUGUAUGUUAGAACGACUGAGUACAGAUUCUAUUCCUUAAUUAGAUUCGAAAGUUUUGUUGUAUAAUAAUUCUAUUCAAUAUAUCGAUAUUACAGAAAUUUCACAAAAUAUCCAACGAGGUUAGCGUGGUUUGUAAAAUGAAAAAUUGAAACGGGAAUAUAUUUAGUAUAGUUUUAAGAAAGAGAG
RNAcentral lists this long non-coding RNA (2024 nucleotides) under Octopus vulgaris (common octopus). The record is from RNAcentral. Lineage: Eukaryota; Metazoa; Mollusca; Cephalopoda; Octopoda; Octopodidae.